AUGGCGCGACGUCGUCUCCCACCCCGACCACCGCAAGAAACUGCCCCGGUCGACCCUCGCCGGCUUCUUCUACGAAACCGGCAAUCUGUGUGCCCGAGUUAUGGACCGUCAUUACCAAAGCCUAACAGGGAGCUGGUGCCCUGGCAUCGACCCCUCCUUCUCGUUCCUGCCCAACACAGACUCUGUGACAUUCACAUUGACAUGCUGGACUGCUGCAAUGGCCUCCUGCUCUGCCGACGACAGAAGACCGAUUACUGGAGGGCAACGGAUUACGUGGUGUGCAAUCCGGCCACUGAGAAAUGGGUUGCCGUGCCUGGCACCGACAGGUCCAGCGAGGUGCGGGUCGCUCGCCUGGGGUACGACCCGGCCGUCUCCUCUCACUUCCAUGUACUUGAGUUUGCACCGGCGGAUGAUGAUACACACGUCAGACCAUUAGGGAUCUACUCUUCCGAAGCUGGAGCCUGGACACAUCGGAGCGAUUGGGAAUGUCCAAUUGAUAUAAACAGGUAUUCAUGUAGCACAUUUUUCGUAUUUAACUUCCUAUGA
RNAcentral lists this ribosomal RNA (546 nucleotides) under Triticum aestivum (bread wheat). RNAcentral describes it as "partial small subunit ribosomal RNA". Lineage: Eukaryota; Viridiplantae; Streptophyta; Magnoliopsida; Poales; Poaceae. The record is from RNAcentral.